RNAcentral lists this small RNA (71 nucleotides) under Arabidopsis thaliana (thale cress). Its description in RNAcentral is "ATSL086150". The record is from RNAcentral. Lineage: Eukaryota; Viridiplantae; Streptophyta; Magnoliopsida; Brassicales; Brassicaceae.
AAAAAAGUAGUAAAUAAGUAGCAAUUUAGUCCAUUAAUAGUCGUCAAUUAGUCACAUAACUUUACGACAAU